AGCGAACGCUGGCGGCAGGCUUAACACAUGCAAGUCGAACGCAUCCUUCGGGGUUAGUGCCAGACGGCUGAGUAACACGUGGGAACGUACCCUUCGAUCUGGGAUAACUUCGGGAAACUGGAGCUAAUACCGGAUACGCUCUUGUGUGGGAAGGUUUACGGUCGAAGGGUCGGCCAGCGUCCUAUCAGCUAGUUGGUGGCGUAACGGCCUACCAAUGCGACGAUCAGUAGCUGGUCAGAGAGGAUGAUCAGCCACACUGGUACUGAGACACGGCCCAGACUCGUGCGGGAGGAAGCAGUGGGGAAUAUUGGCCAAUGGGGGCAAGCAUGAUGCAGCUAUGACGGGUGAGUGCUGAAGGUCUUAGGGUUGUAAAGCUCUUUUGUACGGGACGAUAAUGACGUUACCGGAAGAAUAAGCACCGGCUAACUUCGUG
This 433-nucleotide ribosomal RNA is filed under the name uncultured bacterium. RNAcentral's name for it is "partial 16S ribosomal RNA". It matches the Rfam family "Bacterial small subunit ribosomal RNA", at positions 29 to 507 of the family's 1533-position model. The record is from RNAcentral.